GAUGAACGCUGGCGGCGUGCUUAACACAUGCAAGUCGAACGAUGAAGCCCAGCUUGCUGGGUGGAUUAGUGGCGAACGGGUGAGUAACACGUGAGUAACCUGCCCUUAACUCUGGGAUAAGCCUGGGAAACUGGGUCUAAUACCGGCUAGGAGCGUCCACCGCAUGGUGGGUGUUGGAAAGAUUUAUCGGUUUUGGAUGGACUCUCGGCCUAUCAGCUUGUUGGUGAGGUAAUGGCUCACCAAGGCGACGACGGGUAGCCGGACUGAGAGGGUGACCGGCCCCACUGGGACUGAGACACGGCCCAGACGCCUACGGGAGGCAGCAGUGGGGAAUAUUGCACAAUGGGCGCAAGCCUGAUGCAGCGACGCCGCGUGGGGGAUGACGGCCUUCGGGUUGUAAACCUCUUUCAGUAGGGAAGAAGCGAAAGGGACGGUACCUGCAGAAGAAGCACCGGCUAACUACGG
This 465-nucleotide ribosomal RNA is filed under the name uncultured bacterium. RNAcentral describes it as "partial 16S ribosomal RNA". It matches the Rfam family "Bacterial small subunit ribosomal RNA", at positions 28 to 506 of the family's 1533-position model. The record is from RNAcentral.